GAAACUCAAAGGAAUUGACGGGACCCGCACAAGCAGCGGAGCGUGUGGUUUAAUUCGUUGCUACACGAAGAACUUACCUGGGUUUGACAUAUAGGUUGUAGGGAACUGAAAGGGACGACCCUUCGGGGAGCCUAUACAGGUGUUGCAUGGCUGUCGUCAGCUCGUGCCGUGAGAUGUUCGGUUAAGUCCGCUAACGAGCGCAACCCUCGUCGUAUGUUAUAUGUGUCAUACGAGACUGCCGGUAAAAGCCGGAGGAAGGUGAGGAUGAUGUCAAGUCAGCAUGACCUUUAUAUCCAGGGCUACACACACGCUACAAUGGUCUGUACAAUGGGUAGCCAAGCCGCGAGGCGGAGCCAAUCCUGAAAGCAGGCCUCAGUUCAGAUUGCAGUCUGCAACUCGACUGCAUGAAGCCGGAGUUGCUAGUAACCGCAGGUCAGCAAUACUGCGGUGAAUACGUUCCCGGGUCUU
Molecule: ribosomal RNA, 468 nt
Filed under: uncultured Anaerolineaceae bacterium
Lineage: Bacteria; Bacillati; Chloroflexota; Anaerolineae; Anaerolineales; Anaerolineaceae
Description: bacterial SSU rRNA
Rfam family: Bacterial small subunit ribosomal RNA
Source: RNAcentral